This 429-nucleotide ribosomal RNA is filed under the name Verrucomicrobiota bacterium. Its description in RNAcentral is "Verrucomicrobia bacterium partial 16S ribosomal RNA". It matches the Rfam family "Bacterial small subunit ribosomal RNA", at positions 355 to 776 of the family's 1533-position model. Lineage: Bacteria; Pseudomonadati; Verrucomicrobiota. The record is from RNAcentral.
UAGGGAAUCUUCGGCAAUGGGGGGAACCCUGACCGAGCAACGCCGCGUGAGUGAAGAAGGUUUUCGGAUCGUAAAGCUCUGUUGUUAAGGAAGAACGAGCGUGAGAAUGGAAAGUUCAUGCUGUGACGGUACUUAACCAGAAAGGGACGGCUAACUACGUGCCAGCAGCCGCGGUAAUACGUAGGUCCCGAGCGUUGUCCGGAUUUAUUGGGCGUAAAGCGAGCGCAGGCGGUUAGAAAAGUCUGAAGUGAAAGGCAGUGGCUCAACCAUUGUAGGCUUUGGAAACUGUUUAACUUGAGUGCAGAAGGGGAGAGUGGAAUUCCAUGUGUAGCGGUGAAAUGCGUAGAGAUUAGGAGGAACACCGGUGGCGAAAGCGGCUCUCUGGUCUGUAACUGACGCUGAGGCUCGAAAGCGUGGGGAGCGAACAGG